RNAcentral lists this ribosomal RNA (486 nucleotides) under uncultured bacterium. Its description in RNAcentral is "partial 16S ribosomal RNA". It matches the Rfam family "Bacterial small subunit ribosomal RNA", at positions 28 to 507 of the family's 1533-position model. The record is from RNAcentral.
GACGAACGCUGGCGGCGUGCUUAACACAUGCAAGUCGAACGCUGAAGCCCUGGCUUUUGUUGGGUUGGAUGAGUGGCGAACGGGUGAGUAACACGUGAGUAACCUGCCCUCUUCUUUGGGAUAACGCCCGGAAACGGGUGCUAAUACUGGAUAUUCACUGAUCUUCGCAUGGGGGUUGGUGGAACGGUUUGUUCUGGUGGGGGAUGGGCUCGCGGCCUAUCAGCUUGUUGGUGGGGUGAUGGCCUACCAAGGCUUUGACGGGUAGCCGGCCUGAGAGGGUGACCGGUCACAUUGGGACUGGGAUACGGCCCAGAGUGCGGCGGGAGGCAGCAGUGGGGAAUAUUGCACAAUGGGCGGAAGCAGGAUGCAGCGACGCGGCGUGAGGGACGGAGGCUUGCGGGUUGUAAACCUCUUUCGCUAAUGGUCAAGCCGCAACAGGGGGUUGUGGUGAGGGUAGUGGGUAAAGAAGCGCCGGCUAACUACGUG